UGGGGAAUAUUGCACAAUGGGCGCAAGCCUGAUGCAGCAACGCCGCGUGAGGGACGACGGCCUUCGGGUUGUAAACCUCUUUUGGCAGGGAAGAAGCGGGCUGUUUGUUCAGACGUGACGGUACCUGCAGAAAAAGCACCGGCUAACUACGUGCCAGCAGCCGCGGUAAUACGUAGGGUGCAAGCGUUGUCCGGAAUUAUUGGGCGUAAAGAGCUCGUAGGCGGUUUGUCGCGUCUGCUGUGAAAACGCGAGGCUCAACCUCGCGCCUGCAGUGGGUACGGGCAGACUAGAGUGCGGUAGGGGAGAUUGGAAUUCCUGGUGUAGCGGUGGAAUGCGCAGAUAUCAGGAGGAACACCAAUGGCGAAGGCAGAUCUCUGGGCCGUUACUGACGCUGAGGAGCGAAAGCGUGGGGAGCGAACAG
Molecule: ribosomal RNA, 421 nt
Filed under: uncultured bacterium
Lineage: Bacteria
Description: bacterial SSU rRNA
Rfam family: Bacterial small subunit ribosomal RNA
Source: RNAcentral